Molecule: RNA transcript, 2319 nt
Organism: Oncorhynchus kisutch (coho salmon)
Lineage: Eukaryota; Metazoa; Chordata; Actinopteri; Salmoniformes; Salmonidae
Gene name: B-cell lymphoma/leukemia 10 pseudogene
Exons: 1
Source: RefSeq, a predicted model, not a curated record
UCGGCGAAGCGUGUUGCUUGCCAAUUGAGCAUACUUUCUCAUGCUCUGUUUAUGAAAUGCCUUAUACUUUGUCAUGCUCUGUUUAUGAAAUGCCUUAAAGUCAACACAGUAACUCAUUUGCAUCAGAUGUGGCUUAAAGGAAGCCUUGAGAGGUUCUAUAAGUUCGAGAAAAAGCUGAACAGACUUUCAAGUUUAGCUUGUUGUUCAUGUUCCCUCAGCCUUCUACAUAAGAGACCUGUCUGUCCCUUAAGGAGCCUGAGAGAGCUUACUGUAAAUAUAAUUUAAUUCCAUGAAUAUGUUCUCUUAUUCUCAAUCAUGGUUGCUUUUACGACCACCUCAUAUUUUUUUGUUCAAUAACUCAAUCGUAAUGUGUCUCACAAAAUAUGUUGAAUUACUGCCAUAUCUAUCACAUGCUGUAUAUAACUUUACUUUUGUUUAAAAAUAUUGUUUUCCUUUAUUUUCCCUCCACAAUCAGUCAAUUGAAAACCAAACCAUAACCCCUUUGUAUCAUAUUUAUUUUUAUAUCCUUUUUAAUCCGUUUGUAUGCUUUAUUCAGGGUCAUUGUCUUGGAUUCAAAAGCAUCCAAAGCUCUUCCUGUAUGUAAAAUAACUUUGUUUGCGCUUUGCAAUGUGUUGCAUUCCUGUUUAUUUAAUUCAAAUACAUUUGAUUCAAUUGCUUGGGAUGGAUGUUAAUAUCUGUGUCCAUCUUUUCAUAAUGUCUGUAUCUUAUUAGGGCAAUGGAUGUUGAUCUCUCUGAGGCAGGAAUGUCCAAAUAAGAACACACGCACGCACGCACGCACACGUACUCAGUUUCCUGAUAGGGAACUGAUCUACUGAGGGAGUUCCCUUUUUCACAAUAUUGGCUUCCAACCAGUUCAAUGACUCUCCAGGGUUAGAAAGGGGUUUGUUACAUUAUCUCAGUCAGUUGCUAAUAUUGCAAACCCUUAUUUGAAAUUCCAACACUACUACACUGGGCAUUCCAGAGCCUGAGCAGCAGCUUCAGAAAACUAUAGAGCUCACGGGCAAUUGGCUGGAUAAUGGACUCCUGGUGUAUCACUGACGAAGACAUGGCGGAGGUCAAGAAGGAAGCGUUGGAGCGUCUGCGUCCGUACCUCUGUGAGAAGCUAGUGGCAGACCGCCACCUGGACUACCUCCGGUCCAGGAGGGUCCUUACGCGGGACGACGCCGAGGACAUCUGCUGCAGGGUGGGGAACAGCAAGAAGACCGGUAGGAUGCUGGACUACUUAGCCGAGAACCCCAGGGGCCUCGACUACCUCGUGGAGUCCAUACGCCGAGUGAGGACCAAGGACUUUGUCAUCGGGAAGAUCACCAGCGAAGUCGAGGUGGUGAAGAUGGAGAGGACAGAGACGGCCAUCUUGUCAGCAGCAGGUAGUUCUUCGCCGGUCUGUAUAUGCAAAGAGAAAACUCCCUUUGUGUCGUUGCAGAGUGACAGUACUGGAUACAAAGGCAGUAGUGAAGCACAGUCCAUCCAAACCUCUCUGUCCAACUCCGAAGACAAGUGGGGUCAAAAUGAAGCAUCCUUUUUCUGGAGUGCACUUCCUGAAGGAGUUAGUGUCUCUUCUCUACACAGUCUGCCAAAACCAGGAGAGCAGGGUGCUCCUUCAGUGCCCCUUGAGGACUUCGAGCCCGGGACCUUAGAGUCUGAGAGCAGUGACCAGUUUCACACCCUCCGUUCCUUUUCAACCCCCCCUCUGUGAUGGAGUAAUACAGAAUGCCUGGAUGUCUGGACUCAAACACAGGUUGGAUUAUAUGGGGACAGUAAAGGGUUAGGUUUUAUUGUGUCAUAACUGUACAUGUCAUCGUUAUCUAAUGUUUUAUUUGCCAUAUUAUAAAAGCUUACAGUGAAUCCACAAGACGUGGUUUCUAACACGUUUGUUCUAGCAAUAAAAUGUUUUUCUGAAAACUUUUAUUGAAAUGCAAAAAAAACCUGUAGUUCUCCAUCAAGAAAAAAACAGAACUAUUACAAAAUGGAUGCGUGCCAGAAAGUUGUACUGGAGACUUCUAGUUUCAUAUCGUCAUCUGCCACAGUAUCAGGAAAUGGAGCACGGCACAGCUUCCUGUUUCUUUGAGGCACAGUCCCACUUCAUGUCCCUAUUUCAACUUCUGCCAGGCACCCAUAUUCUAGGAAAUGAUCAAAUCAACAUGUUUAUUUUCUGGGAUUUUAUUUUGAUUCAGGAUGCGCAAAGGAACUCUAAGGGAAACUAGUUAGUGACAGUUAUCCGUGUCAUAUGCACACUGAGGAAACAAAAACAUGUAAAGCUCCAAAUAGGCAUUUCAAUAAAUGUGUUAAUAAAUAUGA